This 412-nucleotide small RNA is filed under the name Pongo abelii (Sumatran orangutan). Its description in RNAcentral is "processed transcript". Lineage: Eukaryota; Metazoa; Chordata; Mammalia; Primates; Hominidae. The record is from RNAcentral.
GGAUGAAGUCCUCCACUGUGGGUGGUGGAAGAGGCUUCUUCUACCUCCUCCCCAUAGUUCCUGAAGGCACCAAGACUGUCACAGUAAUUGCCCCUAAAAUGCUCAUAGACUUCUUUGUGGAGAGGAAGAUAAUUUCCUUUGGUGGAUGCAUUGCACAGCUCUUCUUCUACACUUUGUUGGGGCUUCGGAGAUGUUCUUGCUCACAGUGAUGGCCUUUGACCGCUAUGCUGCUAUCUGCCGACCCCUCCACUAUGCUACCAUCAUGAAUCCACGUCUCUGCUGUAUCCUGGUGGCUCUCUCCUGGAUGGGGGGCUUCAUUCAUUCUAUAAUACAGGAACGCAAAGGCACGGAUUGACGUUAUGAGUCCUGAUUUUUGAGUUGACUUCUCAUCACCUGGAAGUGAAUAAAACAG